GUCUGAGAGGAUGAUCAGCCACACUGGGACUGAGACACGGCCCAGACUCCUACGGGAGGCAGCAGUGGGGAAUUUUGGACAAUGGGCGAAAGCCUGAUCCAGCCAUGCCGCGUGCAGGAUGAAGGCCUUCGGGUUGUAAACUGCUUUUGUACGGAACGAAAAGCCUCUUUCUAAUAAAGAGGGGUCAUGACGGUACCGUAAGAAUAAGCACCGGCUAACUACGUGCCAGCAGCCGCGGUAAUACGUAGGGUGCAAGCGUUAAUCGGAAUUACUGGGCGUAAAGCGUGCGCAGGCGGUUUUGUAAGACAGAGGUGAAAUCCCCGGGCUCAACCUGGGAACUGCCUUUGUGACUGCAAGGCUGGAGUGCGGCAGAGGGGGAUGGAAUUCCGCGUGUAGCAGUGAAAUGCGUAGAUAUGCGGAGGAACACCGAUGGCGAAGGCAAUCCCCUGGGCCUGCACUGACGCUCAUGCACGAAAGCGUGGGGAGCAAACA
Molecule: ribosomal RNA, 492 nt
Filed under: uncultured Diaphorobacter sp.
Lineage: Bacteria; Pseudomonadati; Pseudomonadota; Betaproteobacteria; Burkholderiales; Comamonadaceae
Description: bacterial SSU rRNA
Rfam family: Bacterial small subunit ribosomal RNA
Source: RNAcentral